Molecule: ribosomal RNA, 429 nt
Filed under: Bacteroidota bacterium
Lineage: Bacteria; Pseudomonadati; Bacteroidota
Description: Bacteroidetes bacterium partial 16S ribosomal RNA
Rfam family: Bacterial small subunit ribosomal RNA
Source: RNAcentral
UAGGGAAUCUUCGGCAAUGGGGGGAACCCUGACCGAGCAACGCCGCGUGAGUGAAGAAGGUUUUCGGAUCGUAAAGCUCUGUUGUUAAGGAAGAACGAGUGUGAGAAUGGAAAGUUCAUGCUGUGACGGUACUUAACCAGAAAGGGACGGCUAACUACGUGCCAGCAGCCGCGGUAAUACGUAGGUCCCGAGCGUUGUCCGGAUUUAUUGGGCGUAAAGCGAGCGCAGGCGGUUAGAUAAGUCUGAAGUGAAAGGCAGUGGCUCAACCAUUGUAGGCUUUGGAAACUGUUUAACUUGAGUGCAGAAGGGGAGAGUGGAAUUCCAUGUGUAGCGGUGAAAUGCGUAGAUAUAUGGAGGAACACCAGUGGCGAAAGCGGCUCUCUGGUCUGUAACUGACGCUGAGGCUCGAAAGCGUGGGUAGCAAACAGG